GAUGAACGCUGGCGGCGUGCUUAACACAUGCAAGUCGAGCGAAGCAGUUAAGAAGAUUCUUCGGAUGAUCCUUAACUGACUGAGCGGCGGACGGGUGAGUAACGCGUGGGUGACCUGCCCCAUACCGGGGGAUAACAGCUGGAAACGGCUGCUAAUACCGCAUAAGCGCACAGAGCUGCAUGGCUCGGUGUGAAAAACUCCGGUGGUAUGGGAUGGGCCCGCGUCUGAUUAGGCAGUUGGCGGGGUAACGGCCCACCAAACCGACGAUCAGUAGCCGGCCUGAGAGGGCGACCGGCCACAUUGGGACUGAGACACGGCCCAAACUCCUACGGGAGGCAGCAGUGGGGAAUAUUGCACAAUGGGGGAAACCCUGAUGCAGCGACGCCGCGUGAGCGAAGAAGUAUUUCGGUAUGUAAAGCUCUAUCAGCAGGGAAGAUAAUGACGGUACCUGACUAAGAAGCCCCGGCUAACUACGUGCCAGCAGCCGCGGUAAUACGUAGGGGGCAAGCGUUAUCCGGAUUUACUGGGUGUAAAGGGAGCGUAGACGGCAAGGCAAGUCUGAUGUGAAAACCCAGGGCUUAACCCUGGGACUGCAUUGGAAACUGUCUGGCUCGAGUGCCGGAGAGGUAAGCGGAACUCCUAGUGUAGCGGUGAAAUGCGUAGAUAUUAGGAAGAACACCAGUGGCGAAGGCGGCUUACUGGACGG
This 706-nucleotide ribosomal RNA is filed under the name uncultured Lachnospiraceae bacterium. RNAcentral describes it as "bacterial SSU rRNA". It matches the Rfam family "Bacterial small subunit ribosomal RNA", at positions 28 to 736 of the family's 1533-position model. The record is from RNAcentral. Lineage: Bacteria; Bacillati; Bacillota; Clostridia; Lachnospirales; Lachnospiraceae.